AGUGAACGCUGGCGGUAGGCCUAACACAUGCAAGUCGAACGGCAGCACAGUAAGAGCUUGCCAUUAUGGGUGGCGAGUGGCGGAUGGGUGAGGAAUACAUCGGAAUCUACUUUUUCGUGGGGGAUAACGUAGGGAAAAUUACGCUAAUACCGCAUACGACCUACGGGUGAAAGCAGGGGAUCUUCGUACAUUGCGCGAUUGAAUGAGCCGAUGUCGGAUUAGCUAGUUGGCGGGGUAAAGGCCCACGAAGGCGACGAUCCGUAGCUGGUCUGAGAGGAUGUUCAGCCACACAGGAACUAACACACGGACCAGACUCCUACGGGCGGCAGCAGUAGGGAAUAUUGGACUAUGGGCGCAAGCCUGAUCCAGACCUACCGCCUUGGUGAAGAAGGCCUUCUGGUUGUAAAGCCCUUUUGUUGGGAAAGAAAAGCUACAGGUUAAUACCCCGCUGUUCUGACGGUACCCAAAGAAUAAGCACCAGCUAACUUCGUG
RNAcentral lists this ribosomal RNA (492 nucleotides) under uncultured bacterium. RNAcentral's name for it is "partial 16S ribosomal RNA". It matches the Rfam family "Bacterial small subunit ribosomal RNA", at positions 29 to 507 of the family's 1533-position model. The record is from RNAcentral.